GUAACAGAACUAGCUUGCUAGUUGCUGACGAGUGGCGGACGGGUGAGUAAUACUUAGGGAUCUGCCUCUGUGUGGGGGAUAACUAUUGGAAACGAUAGCUAAUACCGCAUAACGUCUACGGACCAAAGAGGGCUUCGGCUCUCGCGCAGAGAGGAACCUAAGCGAGAUUAGCUUGUUGGUGAGGUAAAGGCUCACCAAGGCGACGAUCUCUAGCUGUUCUGAGAGGAAGAUCAGCCACACUGGAACUGAGACACGGUCCAGACUCCUACGGGAGGCAGCAGUGGGGAAUAUUGCACAAUGGGGGCAACCCUGAUGCAGCCAUGCCGCGUGUGUGAAGAAGGCCUUCGGGUUGUAAAGCACUUUCAGUUGUGAGGAAAGGUUAGUAGUUAAUACCUGCUAGCUGUGACGUUAACAACAGAAGAAGCACCGGCUAACUCCGUGCCAGCAGCCGCGGUAAUACGGAGGGUGCGAGCGUUAAUCGGAAUUACUGGGCGUAAAGCGCACGCAGGCGGUCUGUUAAGCUAGAUGUGAAAGCCCCGCGCUCAACGUGGGA
This 553-nucleotide ribosomal RNA is filed under the name uncultured bacterium. RNAcentral describes it as "bacterial SSU rRNA". It matches the Rfam family "Bacterial small subunit ribosomal RNA", at positions 69 to 619 of the family's 1533-position model. The record is from RNAcentral.